RNAcentral lists this ribosomal RNA (848 nucleotides) under Staphylococcus aureus. RNAcentral's name for it is "partial 23S ribosomal RNA". It matches the Rfam family "Bacterial large subunit ribosomal RNA", at positions 1029 to 1878 of the family's 2925-position model. Lineage: Bacteria; Bacillati; Bacillota; Bacilli; Caryophanales; Staphylococcaceae. The record is from RNAcentral.
AGACCACCAGCUAAGGUCCCAAAAUAUAUGUUAAGUGGAAAAGGAUGUGGCGUUGCCCAGACAACUAGGAUGUUGGCUUAGAAGCAGCCAUCAUUUAAAGAGUGCGUAAUAGCUCACUAGUCGAGUGACACUGCGCCGAAAAUGUACCGGGGCUAAACAUAUUACCGAAGCUGUGGAUUGUCCUUUGGACAAUGGUAGGAGAGCGUUCUAAGGGCGUUGAAGCAUGAUCGUAAGGACAUGUGGAGCGCUUAGAAGUGAGAAUGCCGGUGUGAGUAGCGAAAGACGGGUGAGAAUCCCGUCCACCGAUUGACUAAGGUUUCCAGAGGAAGGCUCGUCCGCUCUGGGUUAGUCGGGUCCUAAGCUGAGGCCGACAGGCGUAGGCGAUGGAUAACAGGUUGAUAUUCCUGUACCACCUAUAAUCGUUUUAAUCGAUGGGGGGACGCAGUAGGAUAGGCGAAGCGUGCGAUUGGAUUGCACGUCUAAGCAGUAAGGCUGAGUAUUAGGCAAAUCCGGUACUCGUUAAGGCUGAGCUGUGAUGGGGAGAAGACAUUGUGUCUUCGAGUCGUUGAUUUCACACUGCCGAGAAAAGCCUCUAGAUAGAAAAUAGGUGCCCGUACCGCAAACCGACACAGGUAGUCAAGAUGAGAAUUCUAAGGUGAGCGAGCGAACUCUCGUUAAGGAACUCGGCAAAAUGACCCCGUAACUUCGGGAGAAGGGGUGCUCUUUAGGGUUAACGCCCAGAAGAGCCGCAGUGAAUAGGCCCAAGCGACUGUUUAUCAAAAACACAGGUCUCUGCUAAACCGUAAGGUGAUGUAUAGGGGCUGACGCCUGCCCGGUGCUGGAAGGUU